UACGUAGGGUGCAAGCGUUAAUCGGAAUUACUGGGCGUAAAGCGUGCGCAGGCGGUUAUGUAAGACAGUUGUGAAAUCCCCGGGCUCAACCUGGGAAUUGCAUCUGUGACUGCAUAGCUAGAGUACGGUAGAGGGGGGAUGGAAAUUCCGCGUGUAGCAGUGAAAUGCGUAGAUAUGCGGAGGAACACCGAUGGCGAAGGCAAUCCCCUGGACCUGUACUGACGCUCAUGCACGAAAGCGUGGGGAGCAAACGAGG
RNAcentral lists this ribosomal RNA (256 nucleotides) under uncultured bacterium. Its description in RNAcentral is "partial 16S ribosomal RNA". It matches the Rfam family "Bacterial small subunit ribosomal RNA", at positions 524 to 777 of the family's 1533-position model. The record is from RNAcentral.